This is a long non-coding RNA of Phacochoerus africanus (Common warthog), 692 nucleotides long. RefSeq lists it as uncharacterized. The record is from RefSeq and is a predicted model, not a curated record. The transcript is spliced from 2 exons. NCBI's taxonomy places the organism in Eukaryota, Metazoa, Chordata, Mammalia, Artiodactyla, Suidae.
UUUGCAGCCUGCAGUAGACCCCGGCGCUAGAGCGCUUUUGGCAGUAAAGCUACUGUUGUGUCUGCUGACCAGGCCGUGAAGCGCGCAAAGAUGACGUUGUAGAAACCGUUUUGGAUGUUCUUUUUGUUUUGUUGGGUACCUCGGACCGUGUCCUUUAAUCUUCGUUUUUGGUGCCAUUACUAGGAAGUUCUUUUCAAAAGGUUAUAAUACCGCAGUUCCGAAGAAAAACAGCUAAGUAAUUGAGAAAAUGCCGCCUCUUGAAACGCCUGUAGCGAUGGAAACAGAAGAGAUAGUAAGGACUAAGUAUCAUAGAACACAGGAGUUUAAAGACCUAAUCUCAGUGAUAAAGAAGCUAUUGUCAGAGCGUUUGAAAAGUAUCAGGGAAUUGAGAUAACAGAAAUGUGCAAGCCUGAUGGGGCACGAAAUCGAUUUACUUAAAUUAAGCCAAACGAGAAAUUCUUACAGCAUGCAGAAAAAAAGAAAAGAAAUCAAGUAAAGCGAAGAGACACCUAGAGGGCCAGUCCAGGAGGUACAAUCUUGGCAUAAUAGGAAUACCUGAAACAGGACAAGUCAAAUGAAGCUGAAACUAUAAUUAAGGAACUAAUCGUAGAAAAAUCUACAGAGUUGAAGAAGGAACCAGAUCUGCAAAUGGAAAAAGUUAACAGGGUAUCAUUAAAAUUUAAUGAAAGCAA